GAUGAACGCUGGCGGCGUGCCUAAUACAUGCAAGUCGAGCGAACAGACGAGGAGCUUGCUCCUCUGACGUUAGCGGCGGACGGGUGAGUAACACGUGGAUAACCUACCUAUAAGACUGGGAUAACUUCGGGAAACCGGAGCUAAUACCGGAUAAUAUAUUGAACCGCAUGGUUCAAUAGUGAAAGACGGUUUUGCUGUCACUUAUAGAUGGAUCCGCGCCGCAUUAGCUAGUUGGUAAGGUAACGGCUUACCAAGGCAACGAUGCGUAGCCGACCUGAGAGGGUGAUCGGCCACACUGGAACUGAGACACGGUCCAGACUCCUACGGGAGGCAGCAGUAGGGAAUCUUCCGCAAUGGGCGAAAGCCUGACGGAGCAACGCCGCGUGAGUGAUGAAGGUCUUCGGAUCGUAAAAUUCUGUUAUUAGGGAAGAACAAAUGUGUAAGUAACUAUGCACGUCUUGACGGUACCUAAUCAGAAAGCCACGGCUAACUACGUG
This 497-nucleotide ribosomal RNA is filed under the name uncultured bacterium. RNAcentral's name for it is "partial 16S ribosomal RNA". It matches the Rfam family "Bacterial small subunit ribosomal RNA", at positions 28 to 507 of the family's 1533-position model. The record is from RNAcentral.